CACACCCCCUUCAACUGUGGACAGGUAGAUUAUUUACUUUGUGGGUUGAUGUGACACAAUUUUUAAUCCCAUGUUGGCUACGCUCUGCCACUUCCCCCCACCGUUAAUGGGUGUGUGCUCAGGCAGUGUAAACUCAGGAAGGUAACGCAAAACCGGGACAGUAAAUCAAUCUGCUUCUUACACCUCUCACCUCACAUCGGCCUCCUCCUCUCUUUUUACUUCAUCGUCUCCAGCUUUAAAAAACCAGAGGUGUGGUGGCUCAUGCCUGCAAUGCCAGAACUUUGCAAGGCCAAAGCAGGAGGAUCACUUGAGCCAGGAGUUCAAGACCAUCCUGAGCAAUAUGGUAAGACCCCAUCUCUACAAAAAAAUACAAAGAAUUAGCUGGGUGUGGUGGUGCAUGCCUGUAGUCCCAGCUACUAAGGAGGCUGAGGUGGGAGAAUCACUUGAGCCCAGCAGACUGAAGUUGCAGUGAGCUGAGACUGAUACCACUGCACUCUGGCCUUGGUGACAGAGCCAGACCCUGCCUUAAAAUAAACACAUACAUAAACAAAUAAGUAAAGUAAUGCUUGCCUUCAUC
This 577-nucleotide long non-coding RNA is filed under the name Callithrix jacchus (white-tufted-ear marmoset). Its description in RNAcentral is "lncRNA (ENSCJAG00000086036.1)". The record is from RNAcentral. Lineage: Eukaryota; Metazoa; Chordata; Mammalia; Primates; Cebidae.